GACGAACCAUGCAACCGUUAUUCGGAAUCACUGGGCUUAAAGCGUGCGUAGGCGGUUCAGAAAGUUGGGUGUGAAAUGCCUCGGCUCAACCGAGGAGUUGCGCCCAAAACUACUGGGCUUGAGGGAGUUAGAGGUGAGCGGAACUCACGGUGGAGCGGUGAAAUGCGUUGAUAUCGUGAGGAACACCGGAGGCGAAAGCGGCUCACUGGGGCUUCACUGACGCUGAGGCACGAAAGCUAGGGGAGCAAACGGG
RNAcentral lists this ribosomal RNA (253 nucleotides) under uncultured bacterium. RNAcentral's name for it is "partial 16S ribosomal RNA". It matches the Rfam family "Bacterial small subunit ribosomal RNA", at positions 524 to 776 of the family's 1533-position model. The record is from RNAcentral.